This 465-nucleotide ribosomal RNA is filed under the name uncultured bacterium. RNAcentral's name for it is "partial 16S ribosomal RNA". It matches the Rfam family "Bacterial small subunit ribosomal RNA", at positions 28 to 507 of the family's 1533-position model. The record is from RNAcentral.
GACGAACGCUGGCGGCGUGCUUAACACAUGCAAGUCGUACGGUAAGGCCCUUUCGGGGGUACACGAGUGGCGAACGGGUGGGUAACACGUGAGUAACCUGCCCACCACUUUGGGAUAACGCUCGGAAACUGGUGCUAAUACUGGCUAUGUGCUCCUGCUGCAUGGUGGGGGUUGGAAAGCUCCGGCGGUUGGGGAUGGACUCGCGGCCUAUCAGCUUGUUGGUGGGGUAGUGGCCUACCAAGGCGGCGACGGGUAGCCGGCCUGAGAGGGUGAGCGGCCACAUUGGGACUGAGAUACGGCCCAGACUCCUACGGGAGGCAGCAGUGGGGAAUAUUGCACAAUGGGCGCAAGCCUGAUGCAGCAACGCCGCGGGCGGGAUGACGGGCUUCGGGUUGGAAACCGCUUUCAGCAGGGACGAAGCUUUUUGUGACGGUACCUGCAGAAGAAGCACCGGCUAACUACGUG